RNAcentral lists this ribosomal RNA (237 nucleotides) under uncultured bacterium. RNAcentral describes it as "partial 16S ribosomal RNA". It matches the Rfam family "Bacterial small subunit ribosomal RNA", at positions 524 to 761 of the family's 1533-position model. The record is from RNAcentral.
UACGAAGGGGGCUAGCGUUGCUCGGAAUCACUGGGCGUAAAGCGCACGUAGGCGGAUUUUAAGUCAGGGGUGAAAUCCUGGAGCUCAACUCCAGAACUGCCUUUGAUACUGGGAAUCUCGAGUCCGGAAGAGGUGAGUGGAACUGCGAGUGUAGAGGUGAAAUUCGUAGAUAUCGCAAGAACACCAGUGGCGAAGGCGGCUCACUGGUCCGGUACUGACGCUGAGGCGCGGACAGCG